UGUAGACGAUCUGCUACAUCUCUGUACAAAUCGGUGUAGUUGUUACGAGAAGGUGUGCGAGUGCAUUGUAUCAUGUUGUUGAAAGUGGUCGAUAACUCUUGAUGAUUUAAGGACCAGCAUUUCUUCAUGAACAAUUGUUCUCAGUAAGUCUGAUGAGUGCUAGAAUAUGUUGGUAAUCUGGUUCAGAAUGCGGAGCUUUUCACAUGGACACAUGGAGCCAUUGUGCGUCAACUCCUCACUAACUAUGAAGAGAUUGAUGAGGUUAACAAGCAGCUUGACACCAUGGGCUACAACAUUGGUGCUCGUCUUGUAGAUGAUUUCUUGGUGAAAGCAAACAUCACAAAGUGUACAAACUUCAGAGAGACUGCAGAAGUCAUUUCUAAGGGCAUCCAAUUACCAAAGAAAACGCAAAUGCAACUGGCCUUGCACAACCCAAAAAAGAAAGGUACUAGCAGUCUUAAUUUGAUGUUGCUAAAGGUUGUCAUUCAUGUGUCUAGUGCAGAGUCUGAGACUGCAGAAUCAAGGUGGAUUUUAUGAUGUUUUUAUGAUCUAAAAACAAAUUAUUAAACUACAAUGUCUCAAAGUAUUAAUCUCUCCAACUGUAACCAUACAUUUUGUCAUCAUAAACAAGGUUUAAGUCAUGUUUUGUGACAAGCUUUGAUGU
Molecule: non-coding RNA, 664 nt
Organism: Physcomitrium patens
Lineage: Eukaryota; Viridiplantae; Streptophyta; Bryopsida; Funariales; Funariaceae
Source: RefSeq, a predicted model, not a curated record